AAAUACAAAUUCAUGGGGCUCACCCCCAGAAAUUGGGAUUUAGUACCUCUUUGGUGGAGUCCAGGAAUCUGCAUUUUUAGCAAUUGUCCCAAGGGAUUCUAAUACAAGUGG
RNAcentral lists this microRNA precursor (111 nucleotides) under Pteropus vampyrus (large flying fox). RNAcentral's name for it is "miRNA (ENSPVAG00000025050.1)". Lineage: Eukaryota; Metazoa; Chordata; Mammalia; Chiroptera; Pteropodidae. The record is from RNAcentral.